RNAcentral lists this ribosomal RNA (444 nucleotides) under uncultured Marinobacter sp. RNAcentral's name for it is "bacterial SSU rRNA". It matches the Rfam family "Bacterial small subunit ribosomal RNA", at positions 1087 to 1532 of the family's 1533-position model. The record is from RNAcentral. Lineage: Bacteria; Pseudomonadati; Pseudomonadota; Gammaproteobacteria; Pseudomonadales; Marinobacteraceae.
CCGUACGAGCGCACCCCUAUCCCUAGUUGCUAGCAGUUCGGGCUGAGAACUCUAGGGAGACUGCCGGUGACAAACCGGAGGAAGGUGGGGAUGACGUCAGGUCAUCAUGGCCCUUACGGCCAGGGCUACACACGUGCUACAAUGGUGCGCACAGAGGGCUGCAAACCCGCGAGGGGGAGCUAAUCUCACAAAACGCAUCGUAGUCCGGAUCGGAGUCUGCAACUCGACUCCGUGAAGUCGGAAUCGCUAGUAAUCGUGAAUCAGAAUGUCACGGUGAAUACGUUCCCGGGCCUUGUACACACCGCCCGUCACACCAUGGGAGUGGAUUGCACCAGAAGUGGUUAGUCUAACCUUCGGGAGGACGAUCACCACGGUGUGGUUCAUGACUGGGGUGAAGUCGUAACAAGGUAGCCGUAGGGGAACCUGCGGCUGGAUCACCUCCUU